Molecule: long non-coding RNA, 879 nt
Organism: Oncorhynchus tshawytscha (Chinook salmon)
Lineage: Eukaryota; Metazoa; Chordata; Actinopteri; Salmoniformes; Salmonidae
Source: Ensembl
CUUUAAACAAUAGAAUGUGUCUGUGAUGGAAGGUGCUUUUAAACAAUAGAAUGUGUCUGUGAUGGAAGGUGUGGUACCUUUAAACAAUAGAAUGUGUCUGUGAUGGAAGGUGUGGUGCCUUUAAACAAUAGAAUGUGUCUGUGAUGGAAGGUGUCUUUAAACAAUAGAAUGUGUCUGUGAUGGAAGGUGUCUUUAAGAAAUAGAAUGUGUCUGUGAUGGAAGGUGUCUUUAAACAAUAGAAUGUGUCUGUGAUGGAAGGUGUGGUGCCUUUAAACAAUAGAAUGUGUCUGUGAUGGAAGGUGUAUUUAAACAAUAGACUGUGUCUGUGAUGGAAGGUGCCUUUAAACAAUAGACUGUGUCUGUGAUGGAAGGUGUCUUUAAGAAAUAGAAUGUGUCUGUGAUGGAAGGUGUGGUGCCUUUAAACAAUAGAAUGUGUCUGUGAUGGAAGGUGUGGUGCCUUUAAACAAUAGAAUGUGUCUGUGAUGGAAGGUGCCUUUAAACAAUAGACUGUGUCUGUGAUGGAAUGUGUCUUUAAGAAAUAGAAUGUGUCUGUGAUGGAAGGUGUGGUGCCUUUAAACAAUAGAAUGUGUCUAUGAUGGAAGGUGUGUUGCCUUUAAACAAUAGAAUGUGUCUGUGAUGGAAGGUGUCUUUAAGAAAUAGAAUGUAUCUGUGAUGGAAGGUGUCUUUAAGAAAUAGAAUGUGUCUGUGAUGGAAGGUGUGGUGCCUUUAAACAAUAGAAUGUGUCUGUGAUGGAAGGUGCCUUUAAACAAUAGACUGUGUCUGUGAUGGAAGGUGUCUUUAAGAAAUAGAAUGUGUCUGUGAUGGAAGGUGUGGUGCCUUUAAACAAUAGAAUGUGUCUGUGAUGGAAGGUGUGUUGCC